Molecule: ribosomal RNA, 119 nt
Filed under: Pteropus alecto (black flying fox)
Lineage: Eukaryota; Metazoa; Chordata; Mammalia; Chiroptera; Pteropodidae
Source: RNAcentral
GUCUACGGCCAUGCCACCCUGAACACGCCCGAUCUCGUCUGAUCUCGGAAGCUAAGCAGGGUCACGCACAGUUAGUACUUGGAUGGGAGACCACCUAGGAAGACCGGGUGCUGUAGGUA